UUCAAAUACAAGUUCAAAGAUUCAAAUUAUGGAGGGAAAUGCAUAUUACUUGACAUACAAUACAUAAUUCAUUUGAAAAGAAGCCAUUUUCAUUACAAGUCAUCAAGUCAUUACACAGAGUCAGGAUUACAAGUCCAUACAAAAUUACAUAUUUUUUUGGCCUACAGUUGACUUUUGGUCAACUAUUGACUUUUUAGUGAGAUAGUUGACCAAAAUCAACUACUAGUUAUAAACCCUAAUUCCUACAUUUCCUUCAUUCACAAGUUAUCCCCAUUCUCACGGGUCUCUAAAACCUUCAUGAUUCUUGAUGAUGUCUUCAUGUGCCAUGACCUCUCUAUGUCAUGUCAAGCCUUGUUUCAUACCAAGCCACAACCAUUCCAUGCCAACCCUGCAAAAGCAUGCACAUAUACACAAUCAUCAUUCACCAUCCACAUGACACAUAUACAUACAUAAUACAAACCAUACCAAGAACCAAGACACCAAAAUAAUUCACACACACACAUGGCAUAUGCAAGUAUUAUUUACUAACAUAUCAAUGUAGUUUCCAUUUUCAAUUCAAUUCCAUUAUAACCAACAUGCUAACUGUCAGCCCCAUAAUUCAUAACACAAUAACUAAUCACAAUACAAAAUAAUUCAACUUAACUAACCUCAUAACUCUAAGUCCGUUUUAAUAGCCCUAACUAUAUUCAAACUAAGAUUCAAUUAGCAUCUCCAUUCUAACAUUAAUAGCUCCACAUCAAUUCAUCACAUGCUAACAUUAGAUAACAAGUGUUUCUAAUUAUAACAAGCCAACUAGCUUUUAACAGCCAUACUAGCAAACUAGCAAUUCAAACUUACUAAAUUCCAAUCUCAUAUGCAUAGCUAACAACACCUAACAAAUUCAAACAGUUUCACCUAGUUCAUUUAACUAACUCUUCCUAACUUCAUUUUCUAACUAUAACAAAAGGUUAACAAGUGGUAAACAUCUAACUAUACUAACUUCCUUAACACUAACUCACCAUUUAACAUCAAUUAACCUUAACUGCAACAAGUUGAAUUACUAACAACCAUCAAUCUGUAACAACUAACCUAAUGCAUUUAGCAUUUUCCAUUUCAAUUUCAAUAUAACUUAACAUCAAAUUAACCAUCCUAACUAAGUUUAACAUAGUAAUCUAACUAUGUUAAUAUUGCAACAAACUUUCUAACUGAAAUUAUUAACUGUAACAUGUGCGCUAACAUUCAUUAACCCCUGCCCCAGAUUGUCGGAGUAUGUUAGCCUCAAAUCCAUUAUAUAAAAAUUUAUACUCACUUUCAUUUGGAGUAACCCAUCACUUUCUGCAUAAAUUCAUCACAAACAAUCACAUUCCAUAAUUUCACUCUCAAGCCCACUCUCAAUCUCUCUAAAAUUUUCCUCUACAACUCCAUCCAUUUCUUAACUCUACUCCAUCAUACAACAGUCUCUCUACUCUCUCACACAUACGUAUUUAUCAUCACAUCAAUCAACACAAACCAAACCUAUAUACUAAGAGUGUGAAGAAGAAAAAGAAGAUGAAGAAUUUGUGGCAGACAAAAGUUUGAGUUCGAAUUGCUUACCGGAUUAAAGAUUCUAUGUACCUCUUGCUUCGUCAUCAUCAUCUUUGUUUUAAACAUUUCCAAGGAAACCUCCACCUUAUGGGUUGAUAGCUUCCUCAAAUUCACCUUCUUCUUGGUUCAAUUUCAUCAUCACAAUGUAACUUAACAAUAGAGGAACCAAACCCCUAAGGUUUGGGUUCCAUUUAGACCUCUUGCACCACUUAGUUGCAGAUUUCAGUUUUAGGGUUCAUACGUUUCUCAAUUCAAUUUUGAAAUUUGGUUAGGUUUUAGGACUAUUGGACCUAGGAAUGAGAGAGAGGGCUAGGAGAGGCUCAUUUUGGUAUAAAUUUUUGGCUGUUUGGAUCAACUCUGUUGUCUCCGGUGCGGCGGAGCCACCACCGGUAGAAAAAUAAUUGAGAGAGUGAGAGAGAAUGGCUGAAAUGAAAUGAAGCAUGAACUGAUUGUAUUUGCUGAGUCCCCUC
This 2033-nucleotide long non-coding RNA is filed under the name Lathyrus oleraceus (garden pea). RNAcentral's name for it is "Pisum sativum (pea) long non-coding RNA (PSAT_LNC038026)". Lineage: Eukaryota; Viridiplantae; Streptophyta; Magnoliopsida; Fabales; Fabaceae. The record is from RNAcentral.